Molecule: ribosomal RNA, 254 nt
Filed under: uncultured bacterium
Lineage: Bacteria
Description: partial 16S ribosomal RNA
Rfam family: Bacterial small subunit ribosomal RNA
Source: RNAcentral
UACGAAGGGUGCAAGCGUUACUCGGAAUUACUGGGCGUAAAGCGUGCGUAGGUGGUGAGUUAAGUCUGUCGUGAAAGCCCCGGGCUCAACCUGGGAAUGGCGAUGGAUACUGGCUCGCUAGAGUGCGGUAGAGGAGAGUGGAAUUCCCGGUGUAGCAGUGAAAUGCGUAGAGAUCGGGAGGAACAUCAGUUGCGAAGGCGGCUCUCUGGACCAGCACUGACACUGAGGCACGAAAGCGUGGGGGAGCAAACAGG